RNAcentral lists this ribosomal RNA (467 nucleotides) under uncultured bacterium. Its description in RNAcentral is "partial 16S ribosomal RNA". It matches the Rfam family "Bacterial small subunit ribosomal RNA", at positions 29 to 507 of the family's 1533-position model. The record is from RNAcentral.
ACGAACGCUGGCGGCGUGCUUAACACAUGCAAGUCGAACGGAAAGGCCCUGCUUUUGUGGGGUGCUCGAGUGGCGAACGGGUGAGUAACACGUGAGUAACCUGCCCUUGACUUUGGGAUAACUUCAGGAAACUGGGGCUAAUACCGGAUAGGAGCUCCUGCUGCAUGGUGGGGGUUGGAAAGUUUCGGCGGUUGGGGAUGGACUCGCGGCUUAUCAGCUUGUUGGUGGGGUAGUGGCUUACCAAGGCUUUGACGGGUAGCCGGCCUGAGAGGGUGACCGGCCACAUUGGGACUGAGAUACGGCCCAGACUCCUACGGGGGGCAGCAGUGGGGAAUAUUGCACAAUGGGCGGAAGCCUGAUGCAGCAACGCCGCGUGCGGGAUGACGGCCUUCGGGUUGUAAACCGCUUUCGCCUGUGACGAAGCGUGAGUGACGGUAAUGGGUAAAGAAGCACCGGCUAACUACGUG